GGCCGGUUAGCUCAGUUGGUUAGAGCGUGGUGCUAAUAACGCCAAGGUCGUGGGUUCGAUCCCUAUACUGGCCA
This 74-nucleotide transfer RNA is filed under the name Salmo salar (Atlantic salmon). It matches the Rfam family "tRNA". Rfam says of the family: Transfer RNA (tRNA) molecules are approximately 80 nucleotides in length. Their secondary structure includes four short double-helical elements and three loops (D, anti-codon, and T loops). Lineage: Eukaryota; Metazoa; Chordata; Actinopteri; Salmoniformes; Salmonidae. The record is from Rfam by way of RNAcentral.